UAUCUCUUGUCACUGAAGGAACAGACGUCGCGCCUGCUGAGGGUCUCUGGUGGUUUUCUCGGGUCUGCUGAGAGCUCAGUAAUGCAUGUGACCGGGGGGAACCUUUGUGUCCUGCGAUGGCCUUUCAGGCUAAGGUGAUAACAACUGUGCCUAAUUGUUUGGAAGGGAUCUGGGUGGAGGCCGUACUACAGCGGUGAAGUCAGAGCGAGGACAUGAGCUUCCAGGAUGUGGAUGUGGAGGUUUUUUUAAUUGUGUUUACCCUCAAUGCCCACGAAACCCUCCUUUUCUAUGUAAUGACACACCUUGUGACUAUAACUGCACCAUGUUAGUGGUAAGAGGUGGAUAAGGUGAGGCCAGUUCCAACUGAAGGCCCAGAUGCUGCGCUGGUAUUUUUCACCAAUGGACGUUAUACGUUCUGCUGUGGAUGAGCAUCACAUUCCUCCAUGGACUCGUGUUCUGAUGAUCACCUUCCUUUGUGGCCGUGACAACUAAUAAAUGUAAAAAC
This is a long non-coding RNA of Betta splendens (Siamese fighting fish), 505 nucleotides long. RefSeq lists it as uncharacterized. The record is from RefSeq and is a predicted model, not a curated record. The transcript is spliced from 4 exons. Lineage: Eukaryota; Metazoa; Chordata; Actinopteri; Anabantiformes; Osphronemidae.